RNAcentral lists this ribosomal RNA (771 nucleotides) under Bacillus pumilus. Its description in RNAcentral is "bacterial SSU rRNA". It matches the Rfam family "Bacterial small subunit ribosomal RNA", at positions 29 to 790 of the family's 1533-position model. The record is from RNAcentral. Lineage: Bacteria; Bacillati; Bacillota; Bacilli; Caryophanales; Bacillaceae.
AUGCGACGCUGGCGGCGUGCCUAUACAUGCAAGUCGAGCGGACAGAAGGGAGCUUGCUCCCGGAUGUUAGCGGCGGACGGGUGAGUAACACGUGGGUAACCUGCCUGUAAGACUGGGAUAACUCCGGGAAACCGGAGCUAAUACCGGAUAGUUCCUUGAACCGCAUGGUUCAAGGAUGAAAGACGGUUUCGGCUGUCACUUACAGAUGGACCCGCGGCGCAUUAGCUAGUUGGUGGGGUAAUGGCUCACCAAGGCGACGAUGCGUAGCCGACCUGAGAGGGUGAUCGGCCACACUGGGACUGAGACACGGCCCAGACUCCUACGGGAGGCAGCAGUAGGGAAUCUUCCGCAAUGGACGAAAGUCUGACGGAGCAACGCCGCGUGAGUGAUGAAGGUUUUCGGAUCGUAAAGCUCUGUUGUUAGGGAAGAACAAGUGCGAGAGUAACUGCUCGCACCUUGACGGUACCUAACCAGAAAGCCACGGCUAACUACGUGCCAGCAGCCGCGGUAAUACGUAUGUGGCAAGCGUUGUCCGGAAUUAUUGGGCGUAAAGGGCUCGCGGCGGUUUCUUAAGUCUGAUGUGAAAGCCCCCGGCUCAACCGGGGAGGGUCAUUGGAAACUGGGAAACUUGAGUGCAGAAGAGGAGAGUGGAAUUCCACGUGUAGCGGUGAAAUGCGUAAAGAUGUGGAGGAACACCAGUGGCGAGGCACUCUCUGGUCUGUAACUGACGCUGAGGAGCGAAGCGUGGGGGAACGAAAGGAUAAAUCCCUG